Long non-coding RNA from Larimichthys crocea (large yellow croaker), 707 nucleotides. RefSeq lists it as uncharacterized. NCBI's taxonomy places the organism in Eukaryota, Metazoa, Chordata, Actinopteri, Sciaenidae. The record is from RefSeq and is a predicted model, not a curated record. The transcript is spliced from 4 exons.
AAGUGGGAGGGGUUUGUGAUGGACACACCUCAAGGCAAAGGUUAUAAUCCUCUGAUUUCUAUAUGCAGAACAGAGACUGGCAGGAUCUCUGGCAGAACUCAAGAAACACAAGACAAAGUGUGAUCCAGUGAAUGAACCUGGUGAGGCUGAAUCUGUGGACAACAAUGAUAAAAGCACAUCAGCAGGAAGAGAGUCUGAAAUCAAGUCUGUAGCACCUUCUGUGACCAAUGAGAAAGGAGUCAUGGAGGUCAACAAAAGCAGCAACGAAAGUAGUGAAGAGUCAGCAGAGGAGAGUGAAACACUGGAAGACUCUUCAACAGACGUGAUUCCUGAACUCACACUUGUGUUAAUUGGUGACACAAAGUCCAUUGAGAUUGGAUCAAAAAAUAUUUUACUUGACCAUGAAAAACAAGUACAUGUGGGACAGUUUUCAUCUAAACUGUAUGAUUUAUGUGGUCGGCACAUCUCUGUCAUUAACAUGCUUGGUCUACAAAACAUUGACACUGACACAUUCCCAUUAAAUAAGGGAAUUCACGCCUUUCUCUUACUGUUAACAAAUGGUCUGCAUAACAGCCAUUACAGUUCAGGACUGCAGUGGUUAGAAAAAGCUUUUGGGAAAGGAUCACUUUCCUAUUUAAUGACAGUUGUGACUCAUGAGUCAGAUGAAAAAUGUGAAAGUGCAUUGACAGACCUGAAAGCCAACAGCA